CGGCAACGGAUAUCCCGGCUCUCGCAUCGAUGAAGAACGUAGCGAAAUGCGAUACUUGGUGUGAAUUGCAGAAUCCCGUGAACCAUCGAGUUUUUGAACGCAAGUUGCGCCCGAUGCCAUUAGGCUGAGGGCACGUCUGCCUGGGUGUCACGU
RNAcentral lists this ribosomal RNA (153 nucleotides) under Bupleurum chinense. RNAcentral describes it as "5.8S ribosomal RNA". It matches the Rfam family "5.8S ribosomal RNA". Rfam says of the family: 5.8S ribosomal RNA (5.8S rRNA) is a component of the large subunit of the eukaryotic ribosome. It is transcribed by RNA polymerase I as part of the 45S precursor that also contains 18S and 28S rRNA. The record is from RNAcentral. Lineage: Eukaryota; Viridiplantae; Streptophyta; Magnoliopsida; Apiales; Apiaceae.